Molecule: ribosomal RNA, 554 nt
Filed under: Salmonella enterica subsp. enterica serovar London
Lineage: Bacteria; Pseudomonadati; Pseudomonadota; Gammaproteobacteria; Enterobacterales; Enterobacteriaceae
Description: partial 23S ribosomal RNA
Rfam family: Bacterial large subunit ribosomal RNA
Source: RNAcentral
UGAACCGUUAUAACCGGCGAUACCCGAAUGGGGAAACCCAGUGUGAUUCGUCACACUAUCAUUAACUGAAUCCAUAGGUUAAUGAGGCGAACCGGGGGAACUGAAACAUCUAAGUACCCCGAGGAAAAGAAAUCAACCGAGAUUCCCCCAGUAGCGGCGAGCGAACGGGGAGGAGCCCAGAGCCUGAAUCAGCAUGUGUGUUAGUGGAAGCGUCUGGAAAGGCGCGCGAUACAGGGUGACAGCCCCGUACACAAAAGCGCAUGUGCUGUGAGCUCGAUGAGUAGGGCGGGACACGUGGUAUCCUGUCUGAAUAUGGGGGGACCAUCCUCCAAGGCUAAAUACUCCUGACUGACCGAUAGUGAACCAGUACCGUGAGGGAAAGGCGAAAAGAACCCCGGCGAGGGGAGUGAAAAAGAACCUGAAACCGUGUACGUACAAGCAGUGGGAGCACCCUUUGGGGUGUGACUGCGUACCUUUUGUAUAAUGGGUCAGCGACUUAUAUUCUGUAGCAAGGUUAACCGUAUAGGGGAGCCGGAGGGAAACCGAGUCUUAAU